Molecule: non-coding RNA, 304 nt
Organism: Cinara cedri
Lineage: Eukaryota; Metazoa; Arthropoda; Insecta; Hemiptera; Aphididae
Source: the annotation of a GenBank genome assembly
AAUCGUUAUUCGUUAGAAAUGGUUUAUUGUUGCGUACAGACAUAAAUUAAAUUCCCCUCUAAAUCUUACCUUCCUAACAUCUCAUCUACAACAUUGGCUCAUCCGUCGUGCGAAGUACGUCCGUCAUUCUGUAAUAUAUCUUCAUAAUUUCCGCAUUCAAACGUAUUUCAUUAAAUAUUAUCACAGGAGAAUUUAGCGAGACGAGUGCCCCAGACUCUAAGAUCUCUACAUCACUAUGUUCGUUUUUUUUGUGAAAUCGACGUGCUGACCUUUUUUUUCCUUUUGCAAAGCCUCAAUACUUAAU